This 460-nucleotide ribosomal RNA is filed under the name uncultured bacterium. Its description in RNAcentral is "partial 16S ribosomal RNA". It matches the Rfam family "Bacterial small subunit ribosomal RNA", at positions 338 to 795 of the family's 1533-position model. The record is from RNAcentral.
CCUACGGGGGGCUGCAGUGAGGAAUAUUGGUCAAUGGCCGGAAGGCUGAACCAGCCAUGCCGCGUGAAGGUCAGUGCCCUAUGGGCGUUAAACUUCUUUUGUGCGGGAGCAAUAAUGGUCACGUGUGGCCAGACGAGAGUACCGUACGAAUAAGCAUCGGCUAACUCCGUGCCAGCAGCCGCGGUAAUACGGGGGAUGCAAGCGUUUGCCGGAUUUAUUGGGUUUAAAGGGUGCGUAGGCUGUGGGGUAAGUCCGCGGGGAAAUGCCCCCGCUCAACGGGGUGAAGGGCCAUUGAUAGUGCCUUGCUGGAAUGCGGAUGCCGUGGGAGGAAUGUGUGGUGUAGCGGUGAAAUGCAUAGAUAUCACACAGAACACCGAUUGCGAAGGCAUCUCACGAAUCCGCGAUUGACGCUGAUGCACGAAAGCGUGGGUAUCAAACAGGAUUAGAUACCCGGGUAGUC